Molecule: ribosomal RNA, 253 nt
Filed under: uncultured prokaryote
Description: partial 16S ribosomal RNA
Rfam family: Bacterial small subunit ribosomal RNA
Source: RNAcentral
UACGUAGGGUGCAAGCGUUAAUCGGAAUUACUGGGCGUAAAGCGCGCGUAGGUGGUUUGUUAAGUUGGAUGUGAAAUCCCCGGGCUCAACCUGGGAACUGCAUUCAAAACUGACAAGCUAGAGUAUGGUAGAGGGUGGUGGAAUUUCCUGUGUAGCGGUGAAAUGCGUAGAUAUCGGAAGGAACAUCAGUGGCGAAAGCGGCUUCCUGGACCAGCACCGACGUUCAGGCACGAAAGCGUGGGGAGCAAACAGG